GCUUGCCAUCUCAAAUCUCAGCUGAUACCUACUUGUACUCAUCACCUCCUCCUCCCAAGAAGCCCUAUUAUUAUCACUCUCCUCCACCACCUUCACCUCCUCCACCUAAGCCAUACUACUAUCAUUCACCACCACCACCUUCACCUCCUCCACCCAAGCCAUACUACUAUCACUCACCACCACCACCUUCACCUCCUCCACCUAAACCAUACUACUAUCACUCACCACCACCACCUUCACCUCCUCCACCUAAACCAUACUACUAUCACUCACCACCACCACCUUCACCUCCUCCACCUAAACCAUACUACUAUCACUCACCACCACCACCUUCACCUCCUCCACCUAAGUCAUAUUACUAUCACUCACCACCACCACCACCCAAAAAGAAGCCAUACUACUACCAUUCUCCCCCACCACCUUCACCACCUCCUCCUAAGCCAUACUACUAUCACUCUCCCCCACCGCCUUCACCUCCUCCACCUACGCCAUACUACUAUCAUUCUCCCCCACCACCCUCACCACCUCCACCUAAGCCAUACUACUACCAUUCACCACCACCCCCACCGAAGAAGAAGCCUUACUACUACCACUCUCCACCACCACCUUCACCUCCUCCUCCAAAGAAGCCAUACUACUACCACUCCCCACCUCCUCCCAAGAAGCCCUACAAAUAUUCAUCUCCCCCACCUCCAGUGCACCCUUACCCUCAUCCUCACCCCCAUCCCCAUCCACACCCCCACCCUCACCCUCCCUACGUUUACAAAUCUCCUCCCCCACCCCCUAAGAAGCCAUACAAGUACCCAUCCCCACCACCUCCAGUCCACGUUUACCCUCACCCUCACCCGCAUCCACACCCUCACCCUCAACCUCACCCCCAUCCACAACCCCACCCUCCCUACAUUUAUCAGUCUCCUCCACCACCCCCUAAGAAGCCUUACAAGUACCCAUCGCCUCCACCUCCCGUCCACCCAUACCCCCAUCCCCACCCUCUUCCUCAUCCCCACCCUCAC
Molecule: long non-coding RNA, 1013 nt
Filed under: Phaseolus vulgaris (common bean)
Lineage: Eukaryota; Viridiplantae; Streptophyta; Magnoliopsida; Fabales; Fabaceae
Description: long non-coding RNA (PVUL_LNC002044)
Source: RNAcentral